This 460-nucleotide ribosomal RNA is filed under the name uncultured bacterium. Its description in RNAcentral is "partial 16S ribosomal RNA". It matches the Rfam family "Bacterial small subunit ribosomal RNA", at positions 338 to 795 of the family's 1533-position model. The record is from RNAcentral.
CCUACGGGAGGCAGCAGUGAGGAAUAUUGGUCAAUGGACGAGAGUCUGAACCAGCCAAGUAGCGUGAAGGAUGACUGCCCUAUGGGUUGUAAACUUCUUUUAUAUGGGAAUAAAAUGUUCCACGUGUGGGAUUUUGUAUGUACCAUAUGAAUAAGGAUCGGCUAACUCCGUGCCAGCAGCCGCGGUAAUACGGAGGAUCCGAGCGUUAUCCGGAUUUAUUGGGUUUAAAGGGAGCGUAGGUGGAUUGUUAAGUGAGUUGUGAAAGUUUGCGGCUCAACCGUAAAAUUGCAGUUGAAACUGGCAGUCGUGAGUGCAGUAGAGGUGAGCGGAAUUCGUGGUGUAGCGGUGAAAUGCUUAGAUAUCACGAAGAACUCCGAUUGCGAAGGCAGCUCACUGGACUGCAACUGACACUGAGGCUCGAAAGUGUGGGUAUCAAACAGGAUUAGAUACCCGGGUAGUC